Acanthochromis polyacanthus (spiny chromis) is the source of this 376-nucleotide long non-coding RNA. RefSeq lists it as uncharacterized. The record is from RefSeq and is a predicted model, not a curated record. The transcript is spliced from 3 exons. Lineage: Eukaryota; Metazoa; Chordata; Actinopteri; Pomacentridae.
GGAUCAGUGACAGAGAUGGCUCGUCUCACCUUUCUUCUCCUUCUCCUGUGGGUCGGCACUGCAGUGAGCACAGUGGUAGAUCUGCAGAAGAGAAUCAUCAGAGGUACACCAUGUGAUCGUCCGUACCACGUCAAACUUAGAGGAGUUGAUCCUAACGGGGCUUCCAACUUCUGUGGAGGCUCUCUGAUCAGUGAACGGUGGAUUCUGACUGCUGCUCACUGCCUCCUGCCAGGAAGGACCAUGUUUGCAUAUUUAGGUGCAGGUGCUGCUGUUCGAAGAGUCCAAAUCACAGCAAAUCCUGUGAAGUACACCGACAACAACAACAGAGAACAUGACCUCAUGCUGCUGCAGCUACCUGGAAACUCUGGCAUUCCAC